CGUAGGUGGCAAGCGUUGUCCGGAAUUAUUGGGCGUAAAGGGCUCGCAGGCGGUUUCUUAAGUCUGAUGUGAAAGCCCCCGGCUCAACCGGGGAGGGUCAUUGGAAACUGGGAAACUUGAGUGCAGAAGAGGAGAGUGGAAUUCCACGUGUAGCGGUGAAAUGCGUAGAGAUGUGGAGGAACACCAGUGGCGAAGGCGACUCUCUGGUCUGUAACUGACGCUGAGGAGCGAAAGCGUGGGGAGCGAACAGGAUUAGAUACCCUGGUAGUCCACGCCGUAAACGAUGAGUGCUAA
RNAcentral lists this ribosomal RNA (294 nucleotides) under Bacillus pumilus. RNAcentral describes it as "partial 16S ribosomal RNA". It matches the Rfam family "Bacterial small subunit ribosomal RNA", at positions 526 to 819 of the family's 1533-position model. The record is from RNAcentral. Lineage: Bacteria; Bacillati; Bacillota; Bacilli; Caryophanales; Bacillaceae.